This 72-nucleotide transfer RNA is filed under the name Camelus bactrianus (Bactrian camel). It matches the Rfam family "tRNA". Rfam says of the family: Transfer RNA (tRNA) molecules are approximately 80 nucleotides in length. Their secondary structure includes four short double-helical elements and three loops (D, anti-codon, and T loops). RNAcentral also lists the same sequence under 1 other name. The record is from Rfam by way of RNAcentral. Lineage: Eukaryota; Metazoa; Chordata; Mammalia; Artiodactyla; Camelidae.
GGAGAUAUACCUCAGUGGUAGAGUGGGUGCUUAGCAUGCACAAAGUCCUAGAUUCAAACCCCAGUGCCUCUG